CCUACGGGAGGCUGCAGUGAGGAAUAUUGGUCAAUGGACGAGAGUCUGAACCAGCCAAGCAGCGUGAAGGAUGACUGCCCUAUGCGUUGUAAACUUCUUUUAUCUGGGAAUAAAACAGGGUAUGCAUACCCUCUUGUAUGUACCAUAUGAAUAAGGAUCGGCUAACUCCGUGCCAGCAGCCGCGGUAAUACGGAGGAUCCGAGCGUUAUCCGGAUUUAUUGGGUUUAAAGGGUGCGUAGGGGGGUUGGUAAGUCAGCUGUGAAAGGGUGCGGCUCAACCGCAGAAUUGCAGUUGAAACUGGCAGACUAGAGUACAGGAGAGGUGGGCGGAAUGCGUGGUGUAGCGGUGAAAUGCUUAGAUAUCACGAAGAACUCCGAUUGCGAAGGCAGCGCACUGGAGUGGAACUGACACUGAUGCUCGAAAGUGUGGGUAUCAAACAGGAUUAGAUACCCGAGUAGUC
Molecule: ribosomal RNA, 460 nt
Filed under: uncultured bacterium
Lineage: Bacteria
Description: partial 16S ribosomal RNA
Rfam family: Bacterial small subunit ribosomal RNA
Source: RNAcentral